GACGAACGCUGGCGGCGUGCUUAACACAUGCAAGUCGAACGGUAAGGCCCUUCGGGGUACACGAGUGGCGAACGGGUGAGUAACACGUGAGUAACCUGCCCCAGUCUCUGGGAUAACCGCCGGAAACGGCGGCUAAUACUGGAUAUUCAGCGUCUGCCGCAUGGUGGGUGUUGGAAAGCUCCGGCGGAUUGGGAUGGGCUCGCGGCCUAUCAGCUUGUUGGUGAGGUAGUGGCUCACCAAGGCUUCGACGGGUAGCCGGCCUGAGAGGGCGACCGGGCCACAUUGGGACUGAGAUACGGCCCAA
RNAcentral lists this ribosomal RNA (304 nucleotides) under uncultured bacterium. RNAcentral's name for it is "bacterial SSU rRNA". It matches the Rfam family "Bacterial small subunit ribosomal RNA", at positions 28 to 334 of the family's 1533-position model. The record is from RNAcentral.